GACGAACGCUGGCGGCGUGCUUAACACAUGCAAGUCGAACGGAAAGGCCCUGCUUUUGUGGGGUGCUCGAGUGGCGAACGGGUGAGUAACACGUGAGUAACCUGCCCUUGACUUUGGGAUAACUUCAGGAAACUGGGGCUAAUACCGGAUAGGAGCUCCUGCUGCAUGGUGGGGGUUGGAAAGUUUCGGCGGUUGGGGAUGGACUCGCGGCUUAUCAGCUUGUUGGUGGGGUAGUGGCUUACCAAGGCUUUGACGGGUAGCCGGCCUGAGAGGGUGACCGGCCACAUGGGGACUGAGAUACGGCCCAGACUGCUACGGGAGGCAGCAGUGGGGAAUAUUGCACAAUGGGCGGAAGCCUGAGGCAGCAACGCCGCGUGCGGGAUGACGGCCUUCGGGUUGUAAACCGCUUUCGCCUGUGACGAAGCGUGAGUGACGGUAAUGGGUAAAGAAGCACCGGCUAACUACGUG
Molecule: ribosomal RNA, 468 nt
Filed under: uncultured bacterium
Lineage: Bacteria
Description: partial 16S ribosomal RNA
Rfam family: Bacterial small subunit ribosomal RNA
Source: RNAcentral